GCCGGGUAGCUAAGUUCGGACGGGAUAACCGCUGAAAGCAUCUAAGCGGGAAGCCUCCCUCGAGAUGAGUUUUCCCAUGAAGCCCGUUGAAGACUACGACGUUGAUAGGCGAGGUGUGGAAGCGCAGUAAUGUGUGAAGCUAACUCGUACUAAUUGGCUGAAUGUCUUGACCAU
Molecule: ribosomal RNA, 174 nt
Filed under: Silvanigrellaceae bacterium
Lineage: Bacteria; Pseudomonadati; Bdellovibrionota; Oligoflexia; Silvanigrellales; Silvanigrellaceae
Description: partial 23S ribosomal RNA
Rfam family: Bacterial large subunit ribosomal RNA
Source: RNAcentral